AUCGAUACGGGUUGUGGGAGCAAGAGCCCGGAGAUGGAUUCUGAGACACGAAUCCAGGCCCUACGGGGCGCAGCAGGCGCGAAAACUUUACAAUGCGGGAAACCGUGAUAGGGGAACUCCGAGUGCCCGUAAAAUCGGGCUGUCCACCAGUUUAAAUAACUGGUGAAGAAAGGGCCGGGCAAGACCGGUGCCAGCCGCCGCGGUAAUACCGGCGGCUCGAGUGGUGGCCACUAUUACUGGGCUUAAAGCGUUCGUAGCUGGUUUGUUAAGUCUCUGGGGAAAUCUUCCGGCUCAACCGGAAGGCGUCUCAGGGAUACUGGCAGACUAGGGACCGGGAGAGGUGAGGGGUACUCCAGGGGUAGGAGUGAAAUCCUGUAAUCCUUGGGGGACCACCUGUGGCGAAGGCGCCUCACCAGAACGGCUCCGACAGUGAGGGACGAAAGCUGGGGGAGCAAACCGGAUUAGAUACCCGGGUAGUCCCAGCUGUAAACAAUGCGCGUUAGGUG
RNAcentral lists this ribosomal RNA (506 nucleotides) under uncultured Methanomicrobiales archaeon. RNAcentral describes it as "bacterial SSU rRNA". It matches the Rfam family "Archaeal small subunit ribosomal RNA", at positions 263 to 773 of the family's 1478-position model. Lineage: Archaea; Methanobacteriati; Methanobacteriota; Methanomicrobia; Methanomicrobiales. The record is from RNAcentral.